This is a long non-coding RNA of Cyprinus carpio (common carp), 644 nucleotides long. Lineage: Eukaryota; Metazoa; Chordata; Actinopteri; Cypriniformes; Cyprinidae. The record is from Ensembl.
AUAACCUUUGAAGGUCCCUCUGGUUUUUCCAUUCCAGCUGUUUUUGGACUUUGCCUUGGAGCAACUUUAACGAGGUCGUCUUUCCUUUUCCCGAACAAGCGUGCAAUUGCAGCAAGGUUCACUCUUUGGCGUUACACAACCUUCAGGAGAUUUGUUUUAAGCCGUGUCGUGCGCAAAUAUCGCAGCGAUGAUCAUCAGACUCGGCAGACUGACUCCUGGAUACUUCCGUCUCCUGCAGGUGUGUAUUUGAUCAAAUCUUUUAACUUGGUUCAAUCUGUGAAUAAUAAUAACUUUUAAAAGUUUUUCUUUUUUUUUUUUAUCGAUCAUAUGAUGAGGAACCAAAUUUUCCUCAAUCUUUGGAGAUAAAAGCAUUUAUUGUACUAUGACAGCAUAUUGUAGCUUUCAGAACACAACUUCCUUCCAAGUGAAAAACGGCAUUUUUUUUUUUUUUUUUUUUUUAACUAAGUUUCAACAAUAGCCGGGUUUCCAACCCGAACAAGCACCAUUUCCAUCCAACGAGUCAAAGAGAACAAAAUCAUCACUUCCUGAUAAACUGCCACUAUACAUCACUAAGAAAAGUAGGAGAAGCUACUGAAAAUAAUAAUUUUCCUAUAUAAUAAAUGACUUGCACCUCAGAACGAGCA